Molecule: long non-coding RNA, 408 nt
Filed under: Sinocyclocheilus grahami
Lineage: Eukaryota; Metazoa; Chordata; Actinopteri; Cypriniformes; Cyprinidae
Description: lncRNA (ENSSGRG00000027266.1)
Source: RNAcentral
CUUCUACACAGAUUACUCUACAUCUUUCCUUGAGUCUGGAGAGCACAGGAAAUCCUGCCUUCUCAUGUACUUUCACUAAAGGAAGUGUAAACCUGUGUAAUGGGUCUGAUCCGCCUGCAGUUUUCCCAAAUUGCUCCUGUAGUUUUUCUGACCAGCUACAAUAUACUGGAGGUUUAAGAGUCUCUGCUACUGUUACUAUUGAAGAUCAGAAGAUCACAGAGAUGCUGACACUGACAAACUGCUCCACUAUCACUGAAAAUUCACCAAAUGUUUCUUAUACACGGUGUGUGCAGUGUGUCUCAGCUGGGUGUCACUGGCCCUCUUCCUCCAAACGUUGUGAAUGGACAGAUGGAAGUGGGCUGCAGUUACACAUACAGGAUGCAUGUAAAUAUCUACUGUCUGAGAUGG